This is a non-coding RNA of Sus scrofa (pig), 2290 nucleotides long. Lineage: Eukaryota; Metazoa; Chordata; Mammalia; Artiodactyla; Suidae. The record is from RefSeq and is a predicted model, not a curated record.
UCCAUCGGAUGGCCAGGCUCUUCCUCGUUUGGCACUUUUCAAACCAGAGUUUCAGCAAGGAGCUUUUGAGCACCAUGGCUGCUGUAGCAAUCCCGCCUUCGAAUCAGGACACCAGGGCUCAGCACCAUGUAGCUCAGUGAGUCAUGUCCUCAGGCCCACUUACAGUAGCAUCGAAAUGGGGCAGCAGGGGAGUUCUCUUGUGGCGCAGCGAGUUAAGGAUCCACUGUCGUCACUGCAGUGGCUUGGGUGGCUGCUGUGGCGGGCACAGGUUCGUUCCCUGUCCUGGGAACUGCCAUAUGCUGUGGGCAUGGCCAAAAUAAAUAAAUUCUCCAAACUAAAAAACGAAACAAAAACCGGAAACUUUUCUGCACAUUAGUUACGGUGGAGGGAGACCCAACAUUUCUGCUAAAGAAGGAAUAACGUUCAUAUUAUAGGAUGGACCUAACUCCAGAAAUAGUUCAUGGCAAACAAGAAAAGCAUAACGUGUGCACACACGUGUUUCAGCAGAGGGGGAAUGUUCCUUGAGAUUAUAACUGAGCAAGAUCCUAUGGGACAGAUCCCCCCAUGUGCUCAGCCUGCCUCUUGUUUGUAGAAAACUCUGGCUCCUAGGCCUUCCCGGAGUUCCCAAGAAUAAAUUCAAUCAGAGAGAUGAGACAAUGCAGAAACAAAGGAAAGCAGUCAAGCAAGACAAAAUAAUAAUAAUAGUUUAGCCAUUAAACUAAAAGUCAGGGCCUUUUAUUUCCUUCUCAAGUACUAUAUAGAUAGUAUCCUGAGCCAUGUCCUUGGAGCUGUUUUGCGGAGACUGAAAUACCCCCACCAGGUGGAAGAAGUUAACUGCAUGCUGCCCACAAGCAGGUAGACCCCAGACCGGCUGGAACCAGCAAAUUGAUGAUGUUGAUGGCUGAUUACCUCACCACCAGCCAAUCUGAAGAAUGCUCACCAGCUGAUCAUGCAUCCCACAAUCCCCCUCCCUCAGCCUGUCUUUAAAAACCUUUCCCAUCGGGAGGUUAGUAGGUCUUUUGAGCACUGGCUCUCUGGACUCUUUGCUCGGCGCCGCCCUGCAAUAAAACGCUUCACUUUCCUUCAGGACAACUCAGCAUCAGCAGAUUUGGCAACCAGGCACAAUUUGGUUGGAUAACAACAGUGGCAGUGGUCUUUCCCAGCCUGAUCCUGCCCUUUCAGGUCCUUGUGCCUCUCCGAACACCGGAAGAAAGGACAGAGGCCACCGCAGAUGCAGCUUUUCUAGGACUUGCACUCCCGCGAGCCUCCCCUCACUGCUCUGGGGUCUGGGAUCCGGGCUGAGGCUUCUCCUGCAACUCCCCUCAGAGGAGCUGGCUUAGUCCUAAGGAGGCAGGACCAAAGGAUUCAGAGCCAAACACAUCUCUGCUGUGACUAUUAUUUCAGCCUCUGACCCGGCGAACUCACCUACCUCUGAGGCCUCAGACCAGGUUUUCUGUAGACUAAGGCAGCCCAUGGCAGAUAAGCUGGAGUCAAGCUGGUGAGCAGUGGUCUUGUUUAUGGACUCAGACCUUGGAAAGGCACUGACCACAUGGGAGAUGUUAUUAGCCAACUCUAUCAUGGAGCCAAGCCUGUCUCAGAAGGACCGGUCCUGUCCAGCUCCUGGGAGACCACCGCUGAGGCCCUGGCAUUUUCUGCCUGCUAGAAUAAUUCCGGAUCCCAGGCGUCGCUGUUCCAUGUGUCCAGGUAGUUCAUGCUGGCAGUGUGACUUAGGGUGCGCAUCUUUUUGGUGUGUCUGAGGCCCCGGGCCCCCCUGUACUAGUUUGAUACCCGGAGGCUGUAGACGGACCGGGUGGCUAAAGUGCGUCCCAUGGAAGCUGCGUGCCUUCAAGUCCAGUCCCCAGGGAACUCUCUGGACCCCCAGGCAUGUGAGCUUCUCCGGCCAGCAGCACUUCGUGGGUGUUGCCCCACAUCGUUUCUGGGAGACUUGGGUAUCGUCUGAGUGUGCUGGGAGGGGAGAACGGGGGUCUUAGGCGGAUUCCCCUGCACUUCGCCCAGGUACCUGUCCCCUCUGCUGAAUCUGCUCUCACGGUCAAAAGUCACAGCCCCGUGUAGAACAGCCCCGAGGGACUCGCAGGACUCUGAGAAGGACCAACCACGGGUUUGAGUCCUGAGUCCUUCUAGGGGAUCAUCAAGCCUGGGGGUGAUCUUGGGGGCCCUCGAGGCACCGUGGCUACAGAUUCUCAGAUGGCUGCCCGGUCUAGAGUCUGUUUCAGCUGUCCCAAGGGGGUGGGCCUUGAGAACCCAGGGUGACUCUGUCCCCAGCGGGCAC